This 459-nucleotide ribosomal RNA is filed under the name uncultured marine bacterium. RNAcentral describes it as "bacterial SSU rRNA". It matches the Rfam family "Bacterial small subunit ribosomal RNA", at positions 1 to 462 of the family's 1533-position model. The record is from RNAcentral.
UAGAGUUUGAUCCUGGCUCAGAUUGAACGCUGGCGGUAUGCUUAACACAUGCAAGUCGAACGGAAACGAUACUAGCUUGCUAGUAGGCGUCGAGUGGCGGACGGGUGAGUAACGCGUAGGAAUCUACCUAAUAGUGGGGGAUAGCCCGGAGAAAUCCGGAUUAAUACCGCAUAAUCUCUAUGGAGUAAAGGGGCCCUCUUCUUGAAAGGUUUCGCUAUCAGAUGAGCCUGCGUAAGAUUAGCUAGUUGGUGAGGUAAAAGCUCACCAAGGCGACGAUCUUUAGCUGGUCUGAGAGGAUGAUCAGCCACACUGGGACUGAGACACGGCCCAGACUCCUACGGGAGGCAGCAGUGGGGAAUAUUGGACAAUGGGGGCAACCCUGAUCCAGCAAUACCGCGUGUGUGAAGAAGGCCUGAGGGUUGUAAAGCACUUUCAAUUGUGAAGAAAAGUUAAUAGUUA